Long non-coding RNA from Salvia splendens (bonfire salvia), 5490 nucleotides. RefSeq lists it as uncharacterized. NCBI's taxonomy places the organism in Eukaryota, Viridiplantae, Streptophyta, Magnoliopsida, Lamiales, Lamiaceae. The transcript has 5 exons. The record is from RefSeq and is a predicted model, not a curated record.
AUUUCUUCUUUGCAUCCAUUCAUUUCCGAAGCUGCCUCGAUCUGCUGGCUUCUGUCCUCUCUCUGCAGGCCUGAUUAUUUCUUGUUUUGUCCGUCAGAUUCAUUUAGAUCGCGAGGCGAUCUACGUCGUGGUUAUGCCUGCUAGAUUUUCUCAAUUUGAUAGCGCCGUCCCUUGGUUUAUACCCUGGCUGCCGUUGUGAAACUUGCGUUUCUUAUGCGCUGCUGCGGCUGUGAAACGACGAGGCUUUGCUGGAUCUGCGACCGUGCUGGAUGGAUCAUUGAAGAAUCGCUUUUCCGUAAUUGAUUGGAAAUCAUUUUUAUGGAUCUGGAAACACGUAGCAUCUGGUUAAGACACGAUCAUCAGAUCGUGAGAUCGUGGAUAUUGACCGGUAUGGAGUCAUCGACUUUUAUCCAUCAAUUUGUCGGUCUACGGUGCUCAGGUGGACUGGCCGAGUUGCCCAAGGGAAGUGAUUUGUUUUGUGUCGUGUUUAUUCAUGCGUUCUUGCUGUCUGUAGUCUUGGCUAAUUGUUGAGGUAUCAGACUGUAAAAAAUGGAAAAAUGAGUGAGUGAAGUGAGGUGAGAUGUGAAAAGUGAGGUGAGAUGUGGUUGUCUGCAUGACCUUUGCCAUGAUGGGUGCGCUCGCAUGGCAGGUCGCCCGUUAAUAAAAGUUUUCGUUUUUGGUUUUUAGGGGAGAUGGUACGGGGAUUUGCCCGGCUCUCCCCCUGUGUGUGGUGUCCUCUCGGCUCUCUCAACUCUCCCUGCCUCGUUUCUUGUCCAUAUUAUGCACGCUUACAAAGUACAAAUACAGUAAUCCAAUCACGCCAAAGUCGUUGUCUUGAAUGCGUUGAUAUUAAAAAAAGAGCCCAACCAGGAUCCAAGUAUUUCCAAUAUGUGAGAUGGUACUUGGGGAACAAGGCUUCAAGAGCAUCAACUACAACUGAGGUACAAAUUUGCAUUUUUUCAGUAUAACAUCGUCUUAUUAAUACUGCAACAGCGUUAACUAGGAAUUUGGUAUCUUUUACUUGGUUUAGUAGUUCAAAUUUUCUAAUUACUCUGGAAUGUAGGAAAUAAUCAUGAACAGAUGACAUGUAAUACGUACCCUUGCAUCCUCAGUUUUUAAUUACAGAACUUUUGUAUUUGUCAAACUGGAAACCUUAACCUUAAGUUUGUCGAAUCUUAUUACAGAGAUAAUAAUAAUCAGUAACCAACUGCAUUUGCACCUGCAUCGUUGUUACCCGUUUUUAACUGUUCACGUGAUCUAUGCAUCAUGUUUAACAAUCCGUUGUUUCACACUUCAACCUCUAUUGUUCGUUGUUUAAUACAUUCCGUUUCUGUUUUCCUUUGUUCCGCUAUGUAGCGGGCUCUAGCUAUUGCUUAUGAUUGUUGAUGUAUGUUGGCUUAUCACUAUCAACCACCUGUAUGGUUGAAGGAACUCGUCUUUCUGUAGUCUGUAGUUUAAAGCUAUAGCAUGGUUGUAAUAGAUCAGCUAUUCAGUAGAGGUUGUUUGCUUAUUGGAUGUGGAGUAUUGCCUCUUCUAUUGAGCGAGUCCUCUUGAGGAGGUUCUCGCGUAAUACCUGUCUUGUGUCUGGCGUGCCCUGGGAUGCUGGAUGCAUUGAUGAUGUGCUGCUGCUGUGGCGUUUAACUGUGGUUUACUCAUCCAGUUCGUCUCUUCUCUACCCCUUUGGGACUGGCUGUCUUGAUGAUGUGCUGCUGUUGUGGUGUUUAGCUUUGGUUUUCUGCCAUUUGUGAUCUGCUGCUGCGAGUGCUGUGAUGAUGCUGCGGUGGUGGUGUAAUUAUUGCUACUUGAGUAAAUUUUCCAAGGCUAUGGUGAUUCUUCUCAUUGGUACUUACUUCAGUUGCAUAUAAUCAUGUGCUUCAUUUGGCUCUCCAAAUGUUUGGGCGUUUCAAAGUUGUUUGGGAUGUUUGAAGCGAUCUGGAGUUUCUUGUUGUUGGAUUAAUAUGGCAAAUUGGGUGUGGUUAGUCAGUUGGGGAUUUGAAGUUAAGAUACAUAGUUAGAACUUGGAAGAUGCAGCGAAUUGACCUAUUUUAUUGCCUUUGGGAAGAGUGUUUAUUUGGUUAGAAUUUAUCAUCUGUUACAAAAAUAUUCCAAGGAUAAGUUAUUUUGGCAUUUUAAUUAUUAUUAUAUUUAUCAAAAUAAAAUGAAAUUUAAAAAGCCAUCUAACUCAAAAUGCUUUUUUCUAUAUCAACCGUAAAAUGCCUAGCAUUAUUUUUUAAAAGUAUGUAUUUCACUUGAGAUCGCCUGAUUUAUUAGAUAUGGUAUUAAAUGGUUAAUUGAGUCGGUCGUGGAUUAUGGUAAAUUUAUUUAUUGAUGGUUUGGUAAGUAGAAAAAAUAUGUUGAAUGGAUCCAUAAGCUCGAACGGGAGAGGACUCAAUAGCUUUCACGCUUGAGGUCGGUGGUUCGAAUCCGCCUGGAUCCCUACCGUUUGUAUUAACAGAAUUGUCCUACAUUUAGUUUUUCUUCUUGAGUCCCACUUGAAAGUAAUUUUUUUUAAUUUUCAAAAAUGAUUUCAAAUGUCUAUAAAGUUGGUUAUUAACCUUUUCCUUUCCAUGAUUUUAUUUUAACGUGCAUUUGAUGUAUAACUAUUGUAUUUCGAUAUUCUUUUUAAAGUAUAUAUGAUGAGAUAAACUACACUUGGUUUUACAUUAUUAACAAAAAUCUUAAUAGUUACAGUUAAACAUCUAAUUUUAGAAACUAAGAUUGAAUAAAGGUAUGAAUUUUGCUUUGGUAGAUAUUUAAAGCUUAUUAGUGUGAGAAAGAGGAAUUUAACAUUUCAGUUGUUUGUAAACGCAUGGUUGGUACUUUUCUGCUUCUAGAAAAAUAUCGAAAAUAAGGGAUUUUUGGUAAACCGCAAUUUUCGGUAAGGUAUCAUACCUUAUCGAUUUAUUUCGAUACGGUAACGAUAUGAAUUUUCAUGUACCGAAGUAUACCCGGAUAUACCGAAAAUAUGAUAUAUACCGUAAUUUUCAGUAUAUACCGAUAUCAAUAUAUACCAAAUUAUAUCCAGUAAAUUCAUACUUUUAUCAAACAAAUAAAUAUUUACAUGUAGAAAUAAAAUCUUGCCUCAUUGUAGUUGUAUGCUAAUCAUGUAAAUAUAAAAUUAAAUAAACCCAAAUAGGAAAACUUGAUAUCGUUGAAUCAAUUAGUUUCAAACAAAUAUAAGAUUUUAGUUAAAUUAUUUUCAAACAAAUAUAGUUGAACAUUGUGUGAUUGCGUGGAGAUUAAUUGUUGCAGUGUUUUUUAACAUUAUUUGAAUAUGUUUGAGUUUGAUUAAAUUUCACGUUUUCUAAGUAUUUUGAAAUAUUAUUUUCAUUGUUUUUGUAUUUAGAGUUAUUUAUAAAAUAAUGAUAUUUUAGUAUCUCGUACCGUAGUCCGAUAUACCGUAAAACUCUGGUAUAGUACGGUAUACCGAAUUUUGGUAUGACAUACUGAAAAUAAGGUAUGGUAUCGGUAUUGAAAUUUGUCAUACUGAAAAUAAGGUAUACCGAAGUUCGGUAUACCAAAAAUUUUGGUAAGGUAAAUCUAUGAUUUUUUCUCAUACCGAAUUUUCGGUAAGGUAUACGGUAUGAUGGUUUCUGUAAGGUAUACCUUACCUACCCACCCCUCUAGUUAAUUAGAAUGAUAAUUAAUUAACUAAUGACUAACACAAAAUUGACUAUCAAUUUUUGUCAGAAAACUGCUAAUUAUAACUUAACUAUACUCCUUAUUUACAUUUAGGAUUAGAAGGACAAACUUAAUAUACAAUUUAUGAUAUUUUAUACAUAAUCAAAAGUCACCAUUAUUUAGGAUUAGAAGGUAAAGACGAUGAAAUCAAAUUUUUAAAAUAAUAUAGAUGACCAAAUUUAGAUUUUACUCUAUUUUGAUAUUAGACUAGAUAAUUAAAACGUUUCUUAAUUAAAAUGUGACAAUAUAAUUAAAUAACAUUGUAGUUGAAACAUAUGAGGUGAAUUUGAAUUGGCGUCUACACCGUCUAAUUAAGAUCUCAAAUAAGGAAACAAACUAUUGCAGAUUCCAUAAUUAUUAAAGUGUAGAGCUUUUAUAAUUACAAAUUUACAAUAUCUUUACGAAAGCUAAAUUUCCUAAAAUAAACCCACCACCGAAACUUUUCCAAGUUCGAGUUCGAUUAGUAAUCAAUAAAUCCAAAGUAAUACAAAGCGUCUAGAAAUUUAUAUUAAAAAUUCAUUCUAGAAAUUCAUCCCUAUACAAGUUGCAUACGCCAAAACAUAGAGAAUUAUCAAUCACGAGGAUGAGGAGAUUACCAAAGAAGAACAUAGUUUCAUAUCUUCAAACCAUUCCUCGUGAAUUGACGACGCAUAUUCUGUCUCGAGUUGCAGCAUCUUCCGCAGCCGACAUCUCUAGCAUUAAGCAAAGUUGUAAAGAAUUAAGUGAAAUUGCUGAAGAUUCAUAACAUGCAAGUUUAAACAAAUUUCCAAUUGUUGAAUGGAGUCCAUUAUGUGAAAAGAAACAAAAGUUUCUCAACAAAGAAAGCUCAAGUCCUGAAAUCUAGUAUAGGGAAGCACCGGUUAAACCACCAACGGCGGUGAGCAGUAAAAGUUUCAACCCAACCAAAAACGGACAACAAGAUCACCAAACAAGAACAACCAUCAAGCCAAAAAACCAAGACACAAAAGAAACGAACGACAAAAUUACUACCAACACACCUCUCACCAACAAAGAAUGCAACAAAGAGGCAAAAACAACACCAUCAAAAGGCGAGAACUAUCCCAACUGUAAGCAAAAGAGGGCAACAGAGGCGAGAUGAAGUUCACCUUUGGAACAUUUGGCAAGUGGUAUUGAUUCUUCAAUAACUUCUAGACUAUCUUCUUGUUUUGACCAGCUCAUCACACAUUUUUCCUGGUAGGAAAGGAAAGUUCGGGUACCACCCUUUAAUCCAUGAGCCGAGUCUCCACAAAAUGAGUCUUCUUUCAACAUUCCAAUUUGGCUCAAAAUUUUGGAAAACCACUUUAAUUUGUUUCUAAUUCACCAUAUAGACCACGAAAUCACAUAGAAAAGGGAUGUCCACAUCUUCUUAUCAAACUUGUAGAAAGAUGCAUCCAUCCAAGUGAGAAUGCACACAAGAUCGGGUCUUCGGGCAAGCUGAAGGCGAGAUUCCAUUGGUUACAACAAAAAUAUCACAAACUGGUAGAGUACUUACACCCAAAUAUUAUGUGAUUGAUAGUCUCUCGCCCCUCCUUGCAAAAAAAUGCAUAAAUCAUCUGUAAUUUCGAAAACUCCGAAUCUGAAAAGUUUAUCCUUAUGUGGAGUUUCCCUUAUAGGAUAAACCAAACCAAAAAUUGGGUAUGAGUUUCCCUUGUAGGAUAAACCAAACCAAAAGUUGUGCAUGAGAUGGGACAACUCUAAACUAGAAUACCAAACAAUGUGUAAACAAUUAAAUACUUCCAAAGAUUUGUUGAAGCUUAUCUUUUUAUAUUUUAAAAUUGAAUAUGAAAGAGAUCCACAUUUAUGUUAUUA